GACGAACGCUGGCGGCGUGCUUAACACAUGCAAGUCGAACGGAAAGGCCCUGCUUUUGUGGGGUGCUCGAGUGGCGAACGGGUGAGUAACACGUGAGUAACCUGCCCUUGACUUUGGGAUAACUUCAGGAAACUGGGGCUAAUACCGGAUAGGAGCUCCUGCUGCAUGGUGGGGGUUGGAACGUUUCGGCGGUUGGGGAUGGACUCGCGGCUUAUCAGCUUGUUGGUGGGGUAGUGGCUUACCAAGGCUUUGACGGGUAGCCGGCCUGAGAGGGUGACCGGCCUCAUUGGGACUGAGGUACGGCCCAGACUCCUACGGGAGGCAGCAGUGGGGAAUAUUGCACAAUGGGCGGAAGCCUGAUGCAGCAACGCCGCGUGCGGGAUGACGGCCUUCGGGUUGUAAACCGCUUUCGCCUGUGACGAAGCGUGAGUGACGGUAAUGGGUAAAGAAGCACCGGCUAACUACGUG
RNAcentral lists this ribosomal RNA (468 nucleotides) under uncultured bacterium. Its description in RNAcentral is "partial 16S ribosomal RNA". It matches the Rfam family "Bacterial small subunit ribosomal RNA", at positions 28 to 507 of the family's 1533-position model. The record is from RNAcentral.